Drosophila virilis is the source of this 611-nucleotide non-coding RNA. The record is from RefSeq and is a predicted model, not a curated record. Lineage: Eukaryota; Metazoa; Arthropoda; Insecta; Diptera; Drosophilidae.
CCAACGAAAGGCGUUGUUUUCCUUGUUUGUUUACCUUGUCUGCCUAAAGAGCUCUCUGGGUGGGGGGCACCUGUACCUGAGACGCAAUAAUCUUUGGGCCCUUUCCUUCCCGGGUGGCACUUUCGGAAAUUUACUUUAUUCAAACUAGUAGUAGAAAAAAAAAAUUGGUUCUCUUUCAGGGGGCACAAUGGGAAGUCUGCGUCUGACUCUGCCGUUUACUCAGGCGAGGAGGCACGAAAUGAAACAGACUCACUCGGAUGAUAUGGGCCGCCUCUUCGUCGUAUGAGUCCCGUCCAUAAUGGCUCGUCUCUCCGUCACGUGGUUUACGCCGACACUUGGCCGCGCUUUGAAAAUCCGACCCGUGAAUACCUGGGUUGAUCUGGCCAGCGUCCUCCGACGCGGGAUUCAAGCGUGGUGUGCCACCGAAUGGCUGCGGCUGCUCUAAUAGUGUAUCGCUUUUAUAGUGGUUUUAAAUGACGACAGUGUGUUUCUGGUGUAAUAUUGUUUCGUGUAUUAUCGCUCUUGUGCACUAUUUCUUUUGCAAUACGUUAGCACAUAAGGAAUUAUCUUGGCAAUUAAAUAAUAAAGACAGCCCGUCAUGAACAAAUGUA